Molecule: ribosomal RNA, 638 nt
Filed under: uncultured bacterium
Lineage: Bacteria
Description: bacterial SSU rRNA
Rfam family: Bacterial small subunit ribosomal RNA
Source: RNAcentral
CGCGGCCUAUCAGCUUGUUGGUGAGGUAACGGCUCACCAAGGCGAUGACGGGUAGCUGGUCUGAGAGGACGAUCAGCCACACUGGGACUGAGACACGGCCCAGACUCCUACGGGAGGCAGCAGCAGGGAAUCUUGCACAAUGGACGAAAGUCUGAUGCAGCGACGCCGCGUGGGGGAUGAAGGCCCUAGGGUCGUAAACCCCUUUCAGUGGGGACGAAACUGACGGUACCCACAGAAGAAGGUCCGGCCAACUACGUGCCAGCAGCCGCGGUAAGACGUAGGGACCGAGCGUUGUCCGGAAUUAUUGGGCGUAAAGAGCUCGUAGGCGGUUGCGUAAGUCGGAUGUGAAAACUCGAGGCUCAACCUCGAGACGCCUUCCGAUACUGCGCUGACUUGAAUCCAGUAGGGGAGUGUGGAAUUCCUGGUGUAGCGGUGAAAUGCGCAGAUAUCAGGAGGAACACCUAUGGCGAAGGCAGCACUCUGGGCUGGUAUUGACGCUGAGGAGCGAAAGCAUGGGUAGCAAACAGGAUUAGAUACCCUGGUAGUCCAUGCCGUAAACGGUGGGCACUAGGUGUGGGGACUUUCAACGGUUUCCGUGCCGAAGCUAACGCAUUAAGUGCCCCGCCUGGGGAGUACGG